AAAUAAGAAGCAAUCUGCAUAUUAGUUUCGACCUAAUACUUUGGUAUAUAAAUACCCUUAUUUU
Molecule: transfer RNA, 64 nt
Filed under: Sigmella schenklingi biguttata
Lineage: Eukaryota; Metazoa; Arthropoda; Insecta; Blattodea; Blattellidae
Description: tRNA-Arg
Source: RNAcentral